GAUGAACGCUGGCGGCGUGCCUAAUACAUGCAAGUCGAGCGAACAGAUAAGGAGCUUGCUCCUUUGACGUUAGCGGCGGACGGGUGAGUAACACGUGGGUAACCUACCUAUAAGACUGGAAUAACUCCGGGAAACCGGGGCUAAUGCAGGAUAACAUGUUGAACCGCAUGGUUCUACAGUGAAAGGCGGCUUUGCUGUCACUUAUAGAUGGACCCGCGCCGUAUUAGCUAGUUGGUGAGGUAACGGCUCACCAAGGCAACGAUACGUAGCCGACCUGAGAGGGUGAUCGGCCACACUGGAACUGAGACACGGUCCAGACUCCUACGGGAGGCAGCAGUAGGGAAUCUUCCGCAAUGGGCGAAAGCCUGACGGAGCAACGCCGCGUGAGUGAUGAAGGUCUUCGGAUCGUAAAACUCUGUUAUUAGUGAAGAACAAAUGCGUAAGUAACUGGGCGCGUCUUGACGGUACCUAAUCAGAAAGCCACGGCUAACUACGUG
This 497-nucleotide ribosomal RNA is filed under the name uncultured bacterium. RNAcentral's name for it is "partial 16S ribosomal RNA". It matches the Rfam family "Bacterial small subunit ribosomal RNA", at positions 28 to 507 of the family's 1533-position model. The record is from RNAcentral.